CUGUUGUAUGAAAGGAGAGGUUAGCACUCCCCUUGACAAGGAUGGAAGAGGCUCUCAGGCCUGACAGCAUGCAUACGGUUAAGGCAUUGCUACCUACUUCGUGCCGUCUAACCAUUGUUUCUU
This 123-nucleotide non-coding RNA is filed under the name Carlito syrichta (Philippine tarsier). The record is from RNAcentral. Lineage: Eukaryota; Metazoa; Chordata; Mammalia; Primates; Tarsiidae.